This 253-nucleotide ribosomal RNA is filed under the name uncultured bacterium. RNAcentral describes it as "partial 16S ribosomal RNA". It matches the Rfam family "Bacterial small subunit ribosomal RNA", at positions 524 to 776 of the family's 1533-position model. The record is from RNAcentral.
UACGAGUGCCCCAAGCGUUAUCCGGAAUUAUUGGGCGUAAAGGGCGCGUAGGCGGUGCGGUAAGUCACCUGUGAAACCCCCGGGCUCAACCCCGGGCCUGCAGUCGAUACGGGCGGACUAGAGUUCGGUAGGGGAGACUGGAAUUCCUGGUGUAGCGGUGAAAUGCGCAGAUAUCGUAAGGAAGACCAGUGGCGAAGGCGGGUCUCUGGACAGUUCCUGACGCUGAGGCACGAAGGUCAGGGGAGCAAACGGG